This is a long non-coding RNA of Galeopterus variegatus (Sunda flying lemur), 430 nucleotides long. RefSeq lists it as uncharacterized. The transcript is spliced from 3 exons. NCBI's taxonomy places the organism in Eukaryota, Metazoa, Chordata, Mammalia, Dermoptera, Cynocephalidae. The record is from RefSeq and is a predicted model, not a curated record.
GAUUAGGAGGCAGCUAUGCAGACCCUUCCUUUGUCCUAAGAAGAGGAUUCAGUAGACCAGGAGUGGCCAGAUUGCCACCGGCUUUCGGAGUUGGAGUUGGUGGCGUCCUGGAGAGAUCUGGACUCCGUGGACCUCCUCAUGCCCCAGAUGUUCCUCUUCCUCCUUAUCCCGCUCACCAUCUGACCCAUGAGUCGCUACCCAGCAUGGCCUUCUUAGCGCCUGAUUCAGCACCACCAGCUGAGCCUGAUCAAGCCACGUUGCAUGUCGUGGAUACAAGAAUCAAAGGUGUUCCCCAGGCCAGAGCCCCUAGAGUAGCUUCUUGUCCUCAUGGAAGACCCUGGAGGGGAAGCCAGGUGGUGGUUGUAGCGGGGGAGGUCUCUAUGAACCUGUCACAUGGAUUUCUCAAUGCUCAACUGGAGAGGGAGACACG